RNAcentral lists this long non-coding RNA (1126 nucleotides) under Anas platyrhynchos platyrhynchos (common mallard). RNAcentral's name for it is "lncRNA (ENSAPLG00000025181.1)". Lineage: Eukaryota; Metazoa; Chordata; Aves; Anseriformes; Anatidae. The record is from RNAcentral.
GGGGUGGGGGACAAAAGGUUUUGUUUCUGUCAGUUGAUUACCACUAAAUAUAUUACAGGAGAAGCAGUCAAACUGUACUUUCAACUCUGUGCUGUCAGUGAGAGCUGCGAACAUGAAGCAGUUGCCAUUCUCAGUGGUACAAUAAUCAAGUAGGAACUAGAGUUUCAGCACUCUCAGGCUCAUUCUGCAUUUGCGCUGCCACUUGAAAUACCAGAUUUGCUUGACAGAAGAAAAAAACAGCUGCAGUGUUGUCAGGAUCUCUAACUGCAAUCCUCUGGUGAUGAAAGAGACCCCAGAAAUUACGUAUAGUAUGCUGCAGUGAAAACAUAAAAAGCCUCAGUUUCCUACCUGCUGCACCCCAGUCAUUUUCUCUUCUUGACACAAGAUGGAGAAGAGGGGACAACCAGUAGUCAGAAAGAUUAAUUUGAAAUCAUAUCUUGCUGUAAUUAAGAAGGUAGAAGCUAUCCUAAAAAUUAUAUUCAAGAGGAAUGGCAGGGAACAGGUCUGGGAAUGGUCUCCAGGAAUCAUACAGACCAUCUGCCUUGGAACAGAAUCUAACAACUAACACCUUCUUGAUAUCAUUAAGUUGUUCAUAGCACCUGCCAGCAAUGGACACUUCAAACACUUUCUAGACAGCUUUUUCACAUCUCAUGUUCUUUUCUCCAUUCUUACUCCUGUUUUCUAUCCUGCUAUUAAAACACAUACUUACUUCACCUUUGGUCAGUGAACAUGGAGAUCUACCUUACCUUCUUCCUAUUCAUUUUGGAAAAAGAGAGGAAGGAGGUUAGGAGAAUUGGAAAUAAUGCUUUAUUAAAUACACAACCAGGAGCAUUUAAUAGAUGCGUAAAAUGAAUAUAUAUAUAUAUAUAUAUAUAUAUAUAUAUAUAUAUAUAUAUAUAUAUAUAUAUACAUACACAUACUCCUGGCUGUAUGAAAGAGCAGCAAGCUUAAAUACUUAGGUUUUAUAUUCUUAUUCAGAAAAAUUGCACAGAUCUAUGUCUAUGCCAUUCUACCACAUUUUCUGUUAUUUCUAGUCUAUUAUAAUGCAGAAAUUGUAUGUUACUAUUGCAGUUGUGUGCCUAAUUUUUUAUAGUUGAGAUUUAAACAAAAAUAUGUAUAAAAUAAC